RNAcentral lists this long non-coding RNA (2457 nucleotides) under Homo sapiens (human). RNAcentral describes it as "HSALNT0224195". The record is from RNAcentral. Lineage: Eukaryota; Metazoa; Chordata; Mammalia; Primates; Hominidae.
CUGGGGGCAUCUUGGAGGCUGGCUUCUACACUCCAUUAAACUAACUCAUAGAGCAUGGCCAGUCCCCCCAUCCAUCUGACUGUAUUACCAUGGAGUGCUUAUUUCUGUCCCAUACAUGGGGACACCAUGAAGGUACCUUGCUAAGUCCCAAUAUAAGGUGCUUGCAGAAUUCCUCUGAAGCAUUCAUUCCAAACUCUUUUACAAGUGAGUGGCCCAAUUCUGCUCUCUAGAGCAACACAGUCUGCCCCCAUUUCAACAGGGGCAGCCUCCAGUUAGUGCAGGAGGGUUCUCACAUCACCCUUCAUGUCUCUCCUCACAGGGUCUUUGACUGUUUCCCAAGGGAGUGUUCUUCUGGAGUUUGCUUCUGGAUUCCUCACUCUCUGCGAACCUUGUUUGUGGAUGCCCCUCAAAAAUGCAAUGCCCGGCAUUAGAUGCACAAGCCCAGGCAAUUAAAAUGAAGACUGUUUCCAUGCGGGCCCCCGUGAAAGGGAUUCCUGUGUAUCUCAAGCAACAAAGAGAGCUGUGGAGCAAGGAGAUUCCCUGUGUAAUCGGGAGCACUGGAUGUGAAUCCCAGGUCUGGCAUGGGAACCUUGGAAUACUCAGUGAGUGAUGCUGAGUGGAAUGUUACGUAUCACCAUCAUCAUCAGCAUCCAUCCCACCACCAUCAUCACAACCACCACCACCACCAUCAUCAUCAUCAUCAUCAUCAACAGCUUUUUCCAAGCAAGUCUGGAAUAAGAAGAGAAGUCGGAGGAUUUAGGCUUUGUACUUCCUGGCAGCCCCAGCCCCUGAGGCUCAUGCGAUCCUGCUCACCUUCUCUCCCUGACCCCGAACCCUAAGGGGCUCCCGCACUCCAGAUCGUAGCUGGCUCUUCUCUAUUCUUUUCCUUAUUCCAGCCAUUAGAGUCUUUUGGGACUGGCUUCUCAACCUUUGUCACAUUGGGCUUGAUAUUUUUAGUUUCUUUCAGUGGUAAAUAUUAGAUUAUUCAGAAAAAUUGUUGUCCCAGAUUUCCACACAUGAUGGUAUAGAUACAGAAUAUACACUUAUAAAAUAAGCAGAAAUGAUAUCUCAUGAACAUUUGCUAGAAUUGAAAUAGAAGAGGUGCAGGCAGCAUCCCCAUAGCUUAAAAAUGAUCUGCUAAGAUGUGGGCAUGACUUUUCCCCACAAAACUUGCCACUCAUUUGAUAUUAUAGUGCGGGGGAAUAGUCUUCCUGACAUUUUAGUGGUUGUUAUUGCUGUAUUUUUUUUUUAGGGCAUAUUUUUUUAAGGGGAGAAAAUGAAGAAUAUGUAAGGAAAAAAAUCAGUACUUAGCUGGGUUACCUUUUAUUCUUAGGACAUUUACUUGUUAGCAUUACAGUCUUAAAAUAGUCUUCUACCAAAUACAUUACCAACAGGCAUUUCCAAAAUGCUGAGAGUACUCUAUCUAGUCUCAAAUUCUCAAGUUCAAAAAAAUGGAAUGCCAGUUCCUCCAUGGGCUGACACAGCCUCAUUAUUAUGGCCAUAUUUAUUUACUUAUUUAUUGUAGUAAAAUAUACAUAAUAUAAAAUUCAUCAUUUAAACCAUUUUAAGCAUACAGUUCAGUGCCUUUAAGUACAUUCACAUUGUUAUAUAAUCAUCACUACUAUCCAUCUUCAAAACUUUUUUUAUCUUCUGCAAUGAAAACUAUGUACCCAUUUAAUAAUAAUUCCUAAUUACCCCUACCCUCUGCCCGUAGCCACCACCAUUCUACUUUGUGUCUCUAUGAAUUUAACUACUGUCAGUACCUUAUGUAAGUGGAUUAGCGCCAAAUUUGUCUUUUUGCGAUUGGCUUAGUCACUUAGCAUCAUGUCUUCCAGGUUCAGUCAUAUUGCGGCAUAUGUCAGGAUUUUCUUCCCUUUAGGGUAACACUUAUUGAGCUCUUACUGCCUACCAGGCCUUGUGCUAUGCGCUUCAACAGACCUCACAAUCACCCUAUGAGGUAGGGAGUCUCACUAACUCCAUUUCACAGAUGAAGAAACUGAAGACAGGAAUGUUUAGAAAGCUGCCUGAUAUGGUUUAGCUCUGUGUCCCCACCCAAAACUCAUGUUGAAUUGUAAUUCCCAGUGUUGGGGGAGGGACCUGGUGGAAGGUGAUUGGAUCGUGGGGGUGGAUUUCCCCCUGGCUGUUCUCGUGAUAGUGAGUGAGUUCUCACAAGAUCUGAUGGUUUAAAAGCGUGUAGCACCUCCCCCUGCACGCUCUCUCCUGAUCUGCAAUGGUCAGCUGUGCUUGCUUCCCCUUCGCCUUCCACUAUGACUGUAAGUUUCCUGAGGCCUUCCCAGUCAUGCUACCUGUAGAGCCUGCAGAACCGUGAGUGAAUUAAACCUCUUUUCUUCAUAAGUUACCCAGUCUCAGGUAGUUCUUUACAGCAGUGUGAAAACAGACUAAUACAGUGCUCUACUAGUUAGCAAUGGUUGCUAACUAGUAGAAGCAGGGAUCUAA